AUUGAACGCUGGCGGCAGGCUUAACACAUGCAAGUCGAGCGGGGGAAGGUAGCUUGCUACUGGACCUAGCGGCGGACGGGUGAGUAAUGCUUAGGAAUCUGCCUACUAGUGGGGGACAACAUCUCGAAAGGGAUGCUAAUACCGCAUACGUCCUACGGGAGAAAGCAGGGGAUCCUCGGACCUUGCGCUAAUAGAUGAGCCAAAGUCGGAUUAGCUAGUUGGUGGGGUAAAGGCCUACCAAGGCGACGAUCUGUAGCGGGUCUGAGAGGAUGAUCCGCCACACUGGGACUGAGACACGGCCCAGACUCCUACGGGAGGCAGCAGUGGGGAAUAUUGGACAAUGGGGGGAACCCUGAUCCAGCCAUGCCGCGUGUGUGAAGAAGGCCUUAUGGUUGUAAAGCACUUUAAGCGAGGAGGAGGCUACUCUAGUUAAUACCUAGGGAUAGUGGACGUUACUCGCAGAAUAAGCACCGGCUAACUCUGUGCCAGCAGCCGCCGUAA
This 501-nucleotide ribosomal RNA is filed under the name uncultured bacterium. Its description in RNAcentral is "partial 16S ribosomal RNA". It matches the Rfam family "Bacterial small subunit ribosomal RNA", at positions 30 to 523 of the family's 1533-position model. The record is from RNAcentral.